GUGCUUGCUUCAGCAGCACAUAUGGAACUAUACAGAGAAGACUAGCAUGGCUCCUGGACAAGGAUGGCAUGCAAAUUCAUGAAGCGUUCUGUAUUUUU
Molecule: small nuclear RNA, 98 nt
Filed under: Neogale vison (American mink)
Lineage: Eukaryota; Metazoa; Chordata; Mammalia; Carnivora; Mustelidae
Source: RNAcentral